Molecule: small RNA, 159 nt
Filed under: Sinorhizobium meliloti 2011
Lineage: Bacteria; Pseudomonadati; Pseudomonadota; Alphaproteobacteria; Hyphomicrobiales; Rhizobiaceae
Description: putative ncRNA
Source: RNAcentral
CAUGGCCGCGGCGUCAACCAGCAUCGCGUGAGAAUGUAUUUUUUUACAACUUCUCCCUUGUCCCCCUGUGGAUCAGUCGAACAACGGGCAAAGGCGACAGGCCGGGUUGUAUGGCACGCCACUGUUGCGUGCCUGCACUAGACGCGGCGCGCAACAGUC